RNAcentral lists this ribosomal RNA (253 nucleotides) under uncultured bacterium. RNAcentral's name for it is "partial 16S ribosomal RNA". It matches the Rfam family "Bacterial small subunit ribosomal RNA", at positions 524 to 776 of the family's 1533-position model. The record is from RNAcentral.
GACGUAGGGCGCGAGCGUUGUCCGGAUUUAUUGGGCGUAAAGAGCUCGUAGGCGGCUUGUCGCGUCGACUGUGAAAUCCCGCGGCUCAACUGCGGGUCUGCAGUCGAUACGGGCAGGCUAGAGUUCGGUAGGGGAGACUGGAAUUCCUGGUGUAGCGGUGAAAUGCGCAGAUAUCAGGAGGAACACCGAUGGCGAAGGCAGGUCUCUGGGCAUUACCUGACGCUGAGGAGCGAAAGUGUGGGGAGCGAACAGG